This is a long non-coding RNA of Vespa mandarinia (Asian giant hornet), 2296 nucleotides long. RefSeq lists it as uncharacterized. The record is from RefSeq and is a predicted model, not a curated record. NCBI's taxonomy places the organism in Eukaryota, Metazoa, Arthropoda, Insecta, Hymenoptera, Vespidae.
CCUCUGAUUGACUUUGAGGAUUAUCGUAUCAGUAGUUCACCUUUGUACGCCGACGAGUAAGCAUCAAAAUUCUCUCAAGGCAAUAUUUUUCUGCAAGUAUCAACGUAGACCUCAAACGCUCUGUUUCCUGUCAAUACAUAUCUACCAGCUUGAAAUGGAUUACGUUUUAUUACUCCAAUAGUAGAUUCUGGCCCUCAGGUUGAAACAAGAACAACAACCACGGAAGUAACAACAACUCUGUUUUACCUUUCACUGGUUAUCCAACUAUGAGGAAAUUGUAAUGAUAAUCAACGGCAUGUAGUCGCGUAAGUGACCUAACUGACUACCGAACUGAUCAAUUUGUGAAUUGUUUAUUAAUGCUUAAUUAAGAAAAGAAGAAAAAGAGUGAGAGCGAUAUAGAGAGAGAGAGAGAGAGAGAGAAAAAAAAGAAAAUGAUCAUUUUCUUCCUCCUUCCUUUUUCUUAUUAUUAUCCAUCAACGACUAUAUCACCAAUCGGAAAUACCGCAGAAACUUUCUAGCAGAAAUCGUGCCGAAGGAACACGGCGACCGAAACGAACAGAGAAAAUGAAGGGAUGUUGUACGUGCGCUGCCGCGAAGGAAGAUCGAGAGAGAUGGAGAAAUAUGAGCCAAUGAUGCAACGACGAUGCGCCUUUCUGCGAUUCAUUCGAGUAUCUCGAAAAUGUCGACGUUAAUUUCUUCUAAGAUUGAUCGCUGUCCUAGUAAUUGAAAACCACCGAGAAAUCUUUCCUCGUUCUUCAUCGUAAGAUAUUAUUUAAGACAGAAAAAAGAAAAAAGGAAAACAGAAAAAAGAAAGAAGAAAAAAGAAAUUCAAAAAUUAUUGUUCGUAAUAUAAUAUUAUAAAAACAUAGUUGGAUAUUCUCUGCGUAGAAUGAUUUCUGUAGAACGAUUUUCGAUGUUACGAAAUGAAAUACAAAAUGAUAGAUAUUUAUUCAUGAUUAAAUAUAUAAUUUGACCGGAAUGAAAAUUGCUUGAUCGAAAAGUCAGAUAUAAUAUUAUUUGUAACAGGUUCAUUUUAGAACGAAAGGAUGGAUAUGGUAUGUCCGACGUAUUAUGAUUAAUUUUUUAGAGGCAAGUCUCGCCUCUACAAUAGUUAGGUAUAUAUAUAUAUAUAUGUAUAUAUAUAUAUUUGGAGUCAGUAAAACGGUACGUUCAAAGAAAAAAAGUAGGAGGGGUAUGACAAGGAAAAGAAUGAGAAGUACGUGGGUGGUGCACGGCUUGGAGAAACGAUCUACUCAAGAGGAAAGCAAGAGAGAGAGAGAGAGAGAGAGAGUCCACAUAUUCAUGAAAGCAACGUUUUAUAUUAUCUCCGGUAUAUUUCCGUGUGUCAAGAAGAACCGGUGCAACCGUAGCUACCCCUAGACCCCACAUGACGUCUCUUCUUUCCUCAUUUCAACACCCCUUUUCUCUUCAAUUCCCUUUCCUCGUACCCUCUCCACAUCCACGAGUCUUUCGCCGGACACGCGGAUACGGAGUGGUUCCAUGAAUUUUCGAUAAUCCAAAUUGGAUUCUCCUAUUGGCGGCACCGGUCCACCGUUCUCUUUUCUUUCCCAUUGUUUCUUCCUUUUGUUUUUUUCUCCAUCCUUUUUCCCUUUCUCUCUCUCUCUCUCUCUCUCUCUCUCUCUCUCCCUUUUUCCCUAUUUCUCUUACCAUUCUUUUCUUUCUCUACGUUUCUCUCGCUGGUAUCACAUGAAAUUGUUUUUCCCGUAGAAAGUUACGAAUUCGUGUGCUCGGGGAAAAAGAGGAAAAUUGGGGGUUGCUGCUACCGUUCUUGCCAUUUUCUCUCUCUCUCUCUCUCUCUCUCUGUUUCUCUCUCUCUUUCUACCUUUCUUUAUCUCUUAUGCUCUCAUUCUUCCAUGCUCGCUCAUCCCUAUUUGCCUUUCUCUCUUCGACUUCUUCCAUUAUUUUUGUUCUUUUUUUCUUUUUUUUCUUUUUUUCACCUUCUUUCUUUCCCUUUCGUAUAGGAAAUUCGUCGUUCGUAGAUGCGGAAAAUACGGAUUCCGGAAUCGUUCCGAUAAGUCGGAACAGGAAUGCGAACACGUAAGAAACAUAAACCACUAAGAAAGUGAAUAAAGAAAGAGGCGGUUUACGUGGUCAAGAGAAUGUACGCCUAUCUAUAUGUUAUCUAUCUAUGUGGGUGAUUGGAAUUCGUUGAAAUUGAAAAGUAAUUCGGGUACAAUGAUUUGUAUACGAGCCAUACACCAGAGUGUUUUUUACAUCCACUUUUUUCGUAAUUCAAUUGUUGUUUGUCAUUAAAAAAGAAAAGGUAAACGAAAGA